AUGCUUCCUGGAAAUCACACAAAAGGUCCAGUGAUGUGCUGCCUCCAAUUCGCCUCUCCCGCAACCUCCCAUUCCCCUUCAUCACCACACCUGCUGCAACAAUCGCUCCCUGCCUUCAUCGUCCUUCGCCUCUUCAUCUGCUUGCACAAAGGCAAGAAGAAGAAUCAGUAUGCAGCGGCGCUGUUUGCAGUGGCGCUGGCUGUGGCUGGCGUGCGGACUGGUUUACAGUUGGUGGUAUCUCCAAUCUUAAAGAAGCUCCUAGCUGACCCUGCAAGGUGUCUUGGUGUGGACAUGGUGAGUGAGCUCCAUGAACUGGAGACCAACAUCAUGCCGCAGUUCGCUCUACUGGUUGAAGCAGCUAACAGGAGCCCUCACAGGCCAAUGUUGAACAACUGGGUCCAGCAGCUGAAAGACGCCUUCUGUAAAGCUGAGGACCUGCUAGAUGAGCAUGAGUACAACAUCCUCAAGCGAGAAGCAGAGAAGGGGAAGGAAUGUUUGCCGGAGCAUGCAUCUUCCAGUAAUACUAUUAUGAAGCAUGUGCGUACUGCGUCGAGCAGGCUGUCCAAUCUGCGCCCAAAGAACAAACGGCUGCUUCACCAGUUGAAAGAACUGAAGGCCAUCCUGGCGAAAGCCAAGGACUUCCGUGAAUUGCUUUGCUUGCCUGCCGGUAAUAGUGAGGCCUCUGCAGUACCAACACCUGUUGUUCCAGUUGUCACAUCAAUGGUACCUCAGAAAGUGAUUGGUCGUGACAAGGAUCGGGAUGAUAUCAUAGAUCUUCUUACCAAGCCAAUUGCUCUUGAGUCUGAUACAAGUAGGUAUUCUGGUCUAGCCAUUGUUGGACUUGGAGGCAUGGGAAAAUCAACCUUGGCGCAACACAUUUACAAUGACAAGAGGGUAAAAGAACAUUUUGAGGUCAGGAUGUGGGUAUGCAUCUCACGCAGACUUGAUGUUGACCGCCACACGCGGUUGACAAUUGAAUCAACAACAAAGGGAGAGUGCCCACGCAUUGAUAAUCUUGAUACUCUACAGUGCAAAUUAACAGACAUACUGCAAAAUCCAAACAGAUACCUUCUUGUGUUGGAUGAUGUCUGGUUUGAAGAAAACACCAAUGAGAUGGAGUGGGAGAAACUAUUGUCUCCUCUAGUAUCUCAACGAAUGGGAAGCAAAGUUUUGGACCAUGCCUUUUCUGGUGCAGCAGUUGGAGACCAGAAGGUGCGUGAGCAGCUAGAAACUAUUGCAGAAAAGCUUGCUAAAAGACUUGGAAGAUCUCCUCUAGCAGCAAAAACUGUGGGUUCACGGCUGACCAGGAAAAAGGAUAAGGCUGCAUGGGAAGAUGCUCUAAAGAUGGACAACUUAAGCGAUCCCAGUAGAGCACUCUUGUGGAGUUAUGAGAAGCUAGAUCUGAGUCUGCAAAGGUGUUUUCUAUAUUGUAGUUUAUAUCCAAAAGGCUACUGGUAUCGCAUUAAGGAGUUGGUUCAUAUGUGGGUAGCAGAGGGACUAAUUGAAUCCUGCAAUGUGAACAAGAGAAUGGAAGAUAUUGGGAGGGAUUGCUUUAAUGAGCUGCUCUCAGUUUCAUUCUUUCAACCAGCUUACGAAUCCACAGCUGACAUAUCUGCACACUAUGUUAUGCAUGAUCUGGUUCAUGAUUUGGCAGAAUUACUGUCUGAAAAAGUCUGCUUCAGGUUAGAAGAUGAUAAGGUGGCAAAAAUACCACACACUGUUCGACAUCUAUCUGUCUAUGUUACGACUCUGAAGCAACAUCAACACUCUAUUUGCGGGCUACAGAAUUUACGUAGCUUUGUUUGCAUUGAACCACUUUUAGAUGAUGCAAGAGAUAUUUUCCAGCAGGUGCUGCAGAAUUUAAAGAAGUUGCGUGUACUCUAUUUGAGCUUCCAUAACAGCAGCAAGCUACCUGAGUCUGUUGGUGAACUGAAGCACCUUCAGUACUUGAACCUCAAAAGAACAUCAAUCUCCGAAUUGCCUGAAUCAUUGUGUGCUCUCUACCACUUGCAAUCACUUCAAAGGUCUGAUACAACCACCUCAAAUUAUGGGCCUUAUACUAUCGAAGGUUACAGAUGUACAGAAUACCCAAGCUGGUUACUUGAGGAUUCUUAUUUCCAGAAUUUCGAGGCACUUACCCUUGUUGAUUGCAGUGCCUUAGAAAUACUACCAUCCAAUGCUGCUCUCCUCGGGAAUUGCUCCUUACAUCGCCUCGAGAAUGUCCGAAACCUGAAGACACUGCCUUCUCUUCCAACCAGGCUUGAAGAGUUGAAGAUUGAGAAAUGCAUGUUGGUUAUGUUUAUUUCUAACGAUGAGCUAGAACAACAUGACCAAAGGGAGAACACCAUGAUGAUACACAACUUGGAGUCACGGCUUUCUUCCAUGUGGGAGGUGGAUACGGGAUCCAAAAUCAGGAAAGUAUUAUUGUCAGAUCACUCAUCUCUCAAGUGGUUGAUGACAUUGAUGGAUGCUGAUAGUUCUCAUCUCCAAACCAUUGAAAGUGCUCUACAAAGAGAUGGGGAUGAAGCAAUGCUAAAAGAGGUUACCAUCAAGGCAUGGAUAUGUUGCCAUGAGGAGAGGAUAAGACUAAUUUGUACAAGGAACAGCGGCAUGCCUCUGGUUCCACCAUCAGGGCUUUCUCGGCUUGAUCUUUCUUCAUGCAUCAUUACAGAUGGGGCAUUAGCGGUUUGCCUUGAUGGUCUCACUUCACUAAGAAGUUUGUCAUUAAAAGAGAUUAUGACGAAGCUUCAGAACUUGUGCAUCGACUCAUGCUGGUGCCUUAGAUUAUUAGGGGGGUUGCGAGCUGCCACCGGUCUUUCUGAAAUUUCAUUAUACAGCUGCCCUUCUUUAGACCUGGCAUGUGGAUCAGAUUUUAUGCCAUUUUCCCUUGAGAAGCUCGACAUACGCCACUGUGUGGUUGCAGCUGAUUUCUUCAGUAGUGACUUGCCGCAUCUGAAAGAUCUUUCCAUGAGGUGGUGCAGAAGCUCUGCAUCAUUGUCGAUUGGUCAUUUAACCUCCCUCCAAAGAUUGUCACUGCGAAAUUUACAGGACAUGUGCUUUCUUGAAGGCUUGUCUUCACUGCAACUAUCCAGUGCACAAUUUGUACAUGUCCCGAACCUCAAUAUGAAGUUCAUCUCACAGUUGCGAGUCAAGAAUAAUCUUCAUGUUAGCAGUUCUGUAAUGCUCAACCACAUGCUCUCAGAUGAAGGUUUUAUAGUUCCAAAAUUUCUCGGUCUUGAAGGAUGCAAUGAGUCCUUUACAUUUGAAGAAUCUGCAGAUUGCUCAUCUAUCAAGUGCCUGUUAUUUUUUGAUUGUGAAAUCAGUUCCUUGCCAGGAAAUCUGAAGUGCUUUUCAUGUCUGCGGACACUCAAGAUUAUUAAAUGCCACAAUAUAUCAUUUUUACCCGAUUUGCCAUCUUCCCUCAACAGAAUAGAAAUGUGUGGUUCUGAACUCUUGAGGGAGAGCUGCCAAUCACCUGAUGAUUUGCAUCCAUAUAGAAACAAAAAGGGUUCCAGCGAUCACACCUCGUGUCCACUGCCUGUCACUGAGGUGGAGCGAAUCUCUCGAGCUCUCAUCAUGCAGUUCGGCUCUCCCAUGUGUCGUAGGCCGAUCGACCCUGUUCACUUGCAUCGCCAAUUUCUGCAAUCAUCGGCCCUCAGCGGCUCCUUUGCCAAGACGUGUGGCCAACAAGUGCUUGAAAAUUCUCCUACUCAUUGCCUGCCUAAACUGCACCCUCCUCAUCCUCCUCCUCCUUUGUAUUUGUGGAAGAAAAGGGGAUAUGCCAAACCGAGUUGCUCCUCUGCAUUACUCGAAAGUUGGAAGCAACAUGGACAGUUCAACCUGAUGACUAGAACAGAUUCAAAUGUAGGAGCAUUUGAUCAAAUUUAUACCUCCAGCUCUAAUCCAGGGCGGCUCGGACAAUCUGCAAGCCAGCAAGUGCUUGGCAGUUCUAUGGACAAGUUCAGGAACACUGAUGCUGCUGCUGGCUCGACUGGACUGGCCAUGAGAUCUGAAAAGGCAAGCUCUCGAUCGAGUCCUGUUGGAUCUACCUACCUGGGUUUGGCAACUUUCCUCCAUGUCAAUGCACGUCCGUCAGUCAAACUUGUUCUUCCAUUUGUGAAGUGCGCCACGGCUCUAGAACUCUACCGGCGGCCGCGUGUUCGUCCACAUCCAGCUCCCUCCUUCCCCUACAACUCCGCCCUAGACCCGAUGUUCAGGUACAGUCCAGCACUGAUGCUCGACUGCUUUCUGAAUAAGUUGAUAGUAUGA
Molecule: ribosomal RNA, 4269 nt
Filed under: Triticum aestivum (bread wheat)
Lineage: Eukaryota; Viridiplantae; Streptophyta; Magnoliopsida; Poales; Poaceae
Description: partial small subunit ribosomal RNA
Source: RNAcentral